ACAGUGUCUGGUGGGUAGUUUGACUGGGGCGGUCUCCUCCUAAAGAGUAACGGAGGAGCACGAAGGUUGGCUAAUCCUGGUCGGACAUCAGGAGGUUAGUGCAAUGGCAUAAGCCAGCUUGACUGCGAGCGUGACGGCGCGAGCAGGUGCGAAAGCAGGUCAUAGUGAUCCGGUGGUUCUGAAUGGAAGGGCCAUCGCUCAACGGAUAAAAGGUACUCCGGGGAUAACAGGCUGAUACCGCCCAAGAGUUCAUAUCGACGGCGGUGUUUGGCACCUCGAUGUCGGCUCAUCACAUCCUGGGGCUGAAGUAGGUCCCAAGGGUAUGGCUGUUCGCCAUUUAAAGUGGUACGCGAGCUGGGUUUAGAACGUCGUGAGACAGUUCGGUCCCUAUCUGCCGUGGGCGCUGGAGAACUGAGGGGGGCUGCUCCUAGUACGAGAGGACCGGAGUGGACGCAUCACUGGUGUUCGGGUUGUCAUGCCAAUGGCACUGCCCGGUAGCUAAAUGCGGAAGAGAUAAGUGCUGAAAGCAUCUAAGCACGAAACUUGCCCCGAGAUGAGUUCUCCCUGACCCUUUAAGGGUCCUGAAGGAACGUUGAAGACGACGACGUUGAUAGGCCGGGUGUGUAAGCGCAGCGAUGCGUUGAGCUAACCGGUACUAAUGAACCGUGAGGCUUAACCUUACAACGCCGAAGCUGUU
RNAcentral lists this ribosomal RNA (697 nucleotides) under Escherichia coli. RNAcentral describes it as "partial 23S ribosomal RNA". It matches the Rfam family "Bacterial large subunit ribosomal RNA", at positions 2251 to 2925 of the family's 2925-position model. The record is from RNAcentral. Lineage: Bacteria; Pseudomonadati; Pseudomonadota; Gammaproteobacteria; Enterobacterales; Enterobacteriaceae.